ACCAGACAAAUAGUAGCACUGUGGUGUUUGCAUUCAUUGUAGCACAUUGGUAUUCCACCCAUUAAUUUUAGAAGUCUCUUAUCAUUUUAUUGUAUUAUAAUUGUUGUGCUUUUCUCUGUAGGAUCACACUUUUCUCUGUAGGAUCACACUUUGCCCCCUCUCCAAUAUCCGGUAAAUAUUCUAUUUCUAAGUGGUCAUGAUUUUGCAAGAGGAACAAAGGCUAACAACAGCCAUUUGAUCUGGAAUUGCUCAUCGUUUCUUUUACUACUUGUACCUGGCACUCCAAUGGAAGAAGAAAAACUGUUUUUGAGAGUAUUAUUUUUUCUAUGGUGAUGGCUCUUCAAAAACAUAUUUACUAGACUUCAGUAAAAUACCGUGAGUUUUUAGAAACUAAAACAUGACAGACUAGCUUCUUUUAUUUUAUUAUUUUCACCUGCUGGAGCCAGUUAUAUUCUCUCCACCAGAGAGCGCAAGUAUCACCAGAGGGGAUGGUGCUGGGAUGGAGAGAUUGCUGUACUUGGAAGCAAUAUUGUGAGCUGUCUUCCUCAAGGAUGACACUCUAGACAUGACGGGCAAUUCCAGCUACAUGAAGUUUUUUGCCUGUGGCUUAAUUUAGGCUGAGAGUUAACAUUGCGUCAAAAUGGUUAAGGCUUCCCAUGUUCAAGGAACUACUGGAGAGAUUCCUGCCUCUGCUUCUGAAUCUUGGGCUCCAGCCCAGGAGAUGCUGACUUCCCAGAGACGUGUGCUUCUCCCACACAAUACAAACACUCAUAUGCUCCUCAGACACAUGCUUGAGGACACUAAGACCAACUGGCUUUGGGACUGUUGGGCAUCAGAAAGAAGAAAGGACUUGACACCUGCCUGUGGAGCCUGCAAACCUCAGCAUGGUCUCUUCCUUCCAGCAGAAGCAUCCCUGGAUGCUAAUAACCCCAGCAGGUCUUAUUGCCUCAUAACUGCCUCAGUUUUAACACCAGUGGACUUCACCGGAGAUGUGCACAUUGCUGGAUGAGAGCCUGUGCCCUCAAAUAUCAGCUUAAGCCAAUGACUACACCAGGGCUCCAUGAUAUCGAAGAAUUGUAUCCAUCCUAGAUCUUGGACUGAUAAGACAUU
RNAcentral lists this long non-coding RNA (1110 nucleotides) under Athene cunicularia (burrowing owl). RNAcentral's name for it is "lncRNA (ENSACUG00000013228.1)". Lineage: Eukaryota; Metazoa; Chordata; Aves; Strigiformes; Strigidae. The record is from RNAcentral.